Molecule: ribosomal RNA, 1236 nt
Filed under: metagenome
Description: bacterial LSU rRNA
Rfam family: Bacterial large subunit ribosomal RNA
Source: RNAcentral
UGAGUACGAGAUGCUACGGUAUCGAAGCAGUCUAUGUCAUACUUCCAAGAAAAGCUUGCAAUGUCAUAAACAAAUAAUGCCUGUACCAUAACCGACACAGGUGGGUAGGUAGAGUAUACUAAGGGGCGCGAGAUAACUCUCUCUAAGGAACUCGGCAAAAUGACUCCGUAACUUCGGGAGAAGGAGUGCCUUAUUUUUAUAAGGUUGCAAUAACAAGAUCCAAGCAACUGUUUACCAAAAACACAGGUCUCCGCUAAGUCGUAAGACGAUGUAUGGGGGCUGACGCCUGCCCAGUGCCAGAAGGUUAAAGAAGUUGGUUAGCAUUAGCGAAGCUGAUAACUGAAGCCCUGGUGAACGGCGGCCGUAACUAUAACGGUCCUAAGGUAGCGAAAUUCCUUGUCGGGUAAGUUCCGACCCGCACGAAAGGCGUAAUGAUUUGGAUACUGUCUCGGAGAGGGGCUCGGUGAAAUAGACUUGUCUGUGAAGAUGCGGACUACCUGCACCUGGACAGAAAGACCCUAUGAAGCUUUACUGUAACUUGAGAUUGAAAUUGGACUUUAUCUGCGCAGUAUAGGUGGGAGACGUUGAAAAUAUUCUUGCGGGAAUAUUGGAGUCAUCAGUGAGAUACCACUCUUAUAAUGUUAGAUUUCUAACUUUGUAUCAUUAUCUGGUCAAAGAACAGUUUCAGGCGGGCAGUUUGACUGGGGCGGUCGCCUCCCAAACGGUAACGGAGGCGCACAAAGGUUUCCUCUGAACGUGUAGAAAUCGUAUCUAGAGUGUAAAGGCAUAAGGAAGCUUGACUGUGAGGCCUACAAGUCGAGCAGGGACGAAAGUCGGUCUUAGUGAUCUGACGGUGCUGAGUGGAAAGGCCGUCACUCAACGGAUAAAAGUUACUCUAGGAUAACAGGCUGAUCUCCCCCAAGAGUUCACAUCGACGGGGAGGUUUGGCACCUCGAUGUCGGCUCAUCGCAUCCUGGGGCGGUAGUACGUCCCAAGGGUUGGGCUGUUCGCCCAUGAAAGCGGUACGCGAGCUGGGUUCAGAACGUCGUGAGACAGUUCGGUCCAUAUCCGGUGUAGGCGUUAGAAUAUUGAGAGGAGCCUUCUUUAGUACGAGAGGACCGAGAAGGACAUACCUCUGGUGUACCAGUUAUCGUGCCAACGGUAAACGCUGGGUAGCCAUGUUUGGAGAGGAUAACCGCUGAAAGCAUCUAAGUGGGAAGCCCACCUCAAGAUAAG